This 482-nucleotide ribosomal RNA is filed under the name uncultured bacterium. RNAcentral's name for it is "bacterial SSU rRNA". It matches the Rfam family "Bacterial small subunit ribosomal RNA", at positions 319 to 787 of the family's 1533-position model. The record is from RNAcentral.
CUGAGACACGGCCCAGACUCCUACGGGAGGCAGCAGUGGGGAAUUUUGGACAAUGGGCGCAAGCCUGAUCCAGCCAUGCCGCGUGAGUGAAGAAGGCCUUCGGGUUGUAAAGCUCUUUCAGCCGGAAAGAAAUCGUGCAGAUUAAUACUUUGCAUGGAUGACGGUACCGGCAGAAGAAGCCCCCGCUAACUACGUGCCAGCAGCCGCGGUAAUACGUAGGGUGCGAGCGUUAAUCGGAAUUACUGGGCGUAAAGGGUGCGCAGGCGGUUUUUGUAAGCCAGAUGUGAAAUCCCCGGGCUUAACCUGGGAACUGCAUUUGGGACUGCAAGGCUAGAGUACGGCAGAGGGGGGGUAAAAUUCCCCGUUUAGCAGUGAAAUGCGUAGAGAUGUUGGAGGAAAUACCGAUGGGCGAAAGGCAGCCCCCUGGGUCGAUACUGACGCUCAAGCACGAAAGCGUGGGGAGCAAACAAGAUUAAAUACCC